AUGAUGCAACGUUGAAAGUUGGCCUUUGGCUAACACUGUAGGAUGGGCCCGCGGCGCAUUAGCUAGUUGGUAAGGUAACGGCUUACCAAGGCCACGAUGCGUAGCCGACCUGAGAGGGUGAUCGGCCACACUGGGACUGAGACACGGCCCAGACUCCUACGGGAGGCAGCAGUAGGGAAUCUUCCGCAAUGGACGAAAGUCUGACGGAGCAACGCCGCGUGAGUGACGAAGGCCUUCGGGUCGUAAAGCUCUGUUGUUAGGGAAGAACAAGUACCGUUCGAAUAGGGCGGUACCUUGACGGUACCUAACCAGAAAGCCACGGCUAACUACGUGCCAGCAGCCGCGGUAAUACGUAGGUGGCAAGCGUUGUCCGGAAUUAUUGGGCGUAAAGCGCGCGCAGGCGGUCUCUUAAGUCUGAUGUGAAAGCCCACGGCUCAACCGUGGAGGGCCAUUGGAAACUGGGGGACUUGAGUGCAGAAGAGGAGAGUGGAAUUCCACGUGUAGCGGUGAAAUGCGUAGAUAUGUGGAGGAACACCAGUGGCGAAGGCGGCUCUCUGGUCUGUAACUGACGCUGAGGCGCGAAAGCGUGGGGAGCGAACAGGAUUAGAUACCCUGGUAGUCCACGCCGUAAACGAUGAGUGCUAGGUGUUGGGGGCUUCCACCCUCAGUGCUGAAGUUAACACAUUAAGCACUCCGCCUGGGGAGUACGACCGCAAGGUUGAAACUCAAAGGAAUUGACGGGGGCCCGCACAAGCAGUGGAGCAUGUGGUUUAAUUCGAAGCAACGCGAAGAACCUUACCAGGUCUUGACAUCCUCUGCCACUCCUAGAGAUAGGACGUUCCCCUUCGGGGGACAGAGUGACAGGUGGUGCAUGGUUGUCGUCAGCUCCUGUCCU
Molecule: ribosomal RNA, 895 nt
Filed under: Bacillus sp. (in: firmicutes)
Lineage: Bacteria; Bacillati; Bacillota; Bacilli; Caryophanales; Bacillaceae
Description: bacterial SSU rRNA
Rfam family: Bacterial small subunit ribosomal RNA
Source: RNAcentral